Molecule: microRNA precursor, 97 nt
Filed under: Caenorhabditis brenneri
Lineage: Eukaryota; Metazoa; Nematoda; Chromadorea; Rhabditida; Rhabditidae
Description: pre miRNA CBN33776
Rfam family: mir-241 microRNA precursor family (bases 11-83)
Source: RNAcentral
AAGGGGUGUCAAAGUAGAGGUAGGUGCGAGAAAUGACGGGCAUCGUGCAAAUCGUUCAUUGUCUCCCAGCUACUUCAACUGUGAUUUCAACCCUUUG